GAUGAAGAACGUAGCAAAAUGCGAUAAGUAAUGUGAAUUGCAGAAUUCAGUGAAUCAUCGAAUCUUUGAACGCACAUUGCGCCCGCUGGUAUUCCUGCGGGCAUGCCUGUUCGAGCGUCAUUUCAACCCUCAAGCCCCCGGGUUUGGUGUUGGGGAUCGGCUCUGCCUUCUGGCGGUGCCGCCCCCGAAAUACAUUGGCGGUCUCGCUGCAGCCUCCAUUGCGUAGUAGCUAACACCUCGCAACUGGAACGCGGCGCGGCCAUGCCGUAAAACCCCAACUUCUGAAUGUUGACCUCGGAUCAGGUAGGAAUACCCGCUGAACUUAAGCAUAUCAAUAAGCGGAGGA
This 346-nucleotide unclassified non-coding RNA is filed under the name soil metagenome. Its description in RNAcentral is "partial contains 5.8S ribosomal RNA, internal transcribed spacer 2, and large subunit ribosomal RNA". The stretch from base 1 to 120 matches the Rfam family "5.8S ribosomal RNA", at positions 35 to 154 of the family's 154-position model. The record is from RNAcentral.